GGAGACGUCGCAUAGUCCGGUCGAGUGCGCUUCACUGCUAAUGAGGUAUGGGUUAAAAGCCCAUCGAGGGUUCAAAUCCCUCCGUCUCCGCCA
Molecule: transfer RNA, 93 nt
Filed under: Nocardioides baekrokdamisoli
Lineage: Bacteria; Bacillati; Actinomycetota; Actinomycetes; Propionibacteriales; Nocardioidaceae
Description: tRNA-Ser
Rfam family: tRNA
About the family: Transfer RNA (tRNA) molecules are approximately 80 nucleotides in length. Their secondary structure includes four short double-helical elements and three loops (D, anti-codon, and T loops).
Source: RNAcentral